This 87-nucleotide unclassified non-coding RNA is filed under the name Pseudomonas gessardii. The record is from RNAcentral. Lineage: Bacteria; Pseudomonadati; Pseudomonadota; Gammaproteobacteria; Pseudomonadales; Pseudomonadaceae.
UGUGGGGGCGGGCUUGCUCGCGAUUGUGGUGUCAGAUUAGAUGUAUUUAACUGAUCCACCGCCAUCGCGGGCAAGCCCGCUCCCACA